Molecule: ribosomal RNA, 454 nt
Filed under: uncultured Pelotomaculum sp.
Lineage: Bacteria; Bacillati; Bacillota; Clostridia; Eubacteriales; Desulfotomaculaceae
Description: bacterial SSU rRNA
Rfam family: Bacterial small subunit ribosomal RNA
Source: RNAcentral
UGGAGCAUGUGGUUAAUUCGACGCAACGCGAAGAACCUUACCAGGGCUUGACAUCCCCUGACCGCGUAUGAAAGUACGUUUUCACCCUCGGGUGACAGGGAGACAGGUGGUGCAUGGUUGUCGUCAGCUCGUGUCGUGAGAUGUUGGGUUAAGUCCCGCAACGAGCGCAACCCCUACGUUUAGUUGCUAACGCGUGAAGGCGAGCACUCUAGACGAACUGCCGUUGACAAAACGGAGGAAGGUGGGGAUGACGUCAAAUCAUCAUGCCCCUUAUGUUCUGGGCUACACACGUGCUACAAUGGCCGGUACAGACGGACGCAAAGCCGCCCCGAGGCGGAGCAAAUCCGAAAAAGCCGGUCUCAGUUCGGAUUGCAGGCUGCAAUUCGCCUGCAUGAAGUCGGAAUCGCUAGUAAUCGCAGGUCAGCAUACUGCGGUGAAUACGUUCCCGGGCCUU